Non-coding RNA from Schizosaccharomyces pombe (fission yeast), 430 nucleotides. The record is from the annotation of a GenBank genome assembly. Lineage: Eukaryota; Fungi; Ascomycota; Schizosaccharomycetes; Schizosaccharomycetales; Schizosaccharomycetaceae.
UGGACCGUUUGAUGGAAAGAGUUCAUUUCUAUUAAGAGUUGAUACAAGUGGCGGUGGGAUUUUUGCUUGGUCUAGUUUUCCUUUUUUUAGGUUGAUUUCUCGCGAAAUCAUGGGAACAGGAAGCGAGUGAGACAAGUUGUUUUGGUAAGACUGAUCAACCUUCUCAGUUGGAAAAGUAAGAUAAAAACUCCACUUUCCAGGAAGACGACCCAAAGCAGCUUUUAAUCUUUCAAAGCCUUUCCACUGAGGCCUUAAGAAUGCAGACUUUAAGUCAAUAUUUGCUACCCAUAGAGUGUCCUUAGGUUCAGAACUAGAAGGUUUUGCAUCAAUACCACUAACCAAAUAGCUAUCUUUGUCAAGAGUGACAGAUAGAAUACCUUAUUAACUGUAAGCAAUAAAAAUUUCAAAAUCUUAAAGAUACCCGAAAUUG